UACGGAGGGUGCAAGCGUUAAUCGGAUUUAUUGGGCGUAAAGGGCGCGUAGGCGGAUGGACAAGUCAGAUGUGAAAUUUCAUGGCUCAACCCUGGAGCUGCAAUUGAAACUUUCUGUCUAGAGGAUAGAGUGGGUGAAGCGGAAUUCCACAUGUAGCGGUGAAAUGCGUAGAUAUGUGGAGGAACACCGGUGGCGAAGGCGGCUUUCUAACCUAGACCUGGCGCUGAGGCGCGAAAGCGUGGGGAUCAAACAGG
RNAcentral lists this unclassified non-coding RNA (254 nucleotides) under uncultured Chlamydiales bacterium. RNAcentral describes it as "contains 16S-23S intergenic spacer region". It matches the Rfam family "Bacterial small subunit ribosomal RNA", at positions 524 to 776 of the family's 1533-position model. The record is from RNAcentral. Lineage: Bacteria; Pseudomonadati; Chlamydiota; Chlamydiia; Chlamydiales.